RNAcentral lists this ribosomal RNA (497 nucleotides) under uncultured bacterium. RNAcentral's name for it is "partial 16S ribosomal RNA". It matches the Rfam family "Bacterial small subunit ribosomal RNA", at positions 28 to 507 of the family's 1533-position model. The record is from RNAcentral.
GAUGAACGCUGGCGGCGUGCCUAAUACAUGCAAGUCGAGCGAACGGACGAGAAGCUUGCUUCUCUGAUGUUAGCGGCGGACGGGUGAGUAACACGUGGAUAACCUACCUAUAAGACUGGGAUAACUUCGGGAAACCGGAGCUAAUACCGGAUAAUAUUUUGAACCGCAUGGUUCAAAAGUGAAAGACGGUCUUGCUGUCACUUAUAGAUGGAACCGCGCUGCAUUAGCUAGUUGGUAAGGUAACGGCUUACCAAGGCAACGAUGCAUAGCCGACCUGAGAGGGUGAUCGGCCACACUGGAACUGAGACACGGUCCAGACUCCUACGGGAGGCAGCAGUAGGGAAUCUUCCGCAAUGGGCGAAAGCCUGACGGAGCAACGCCGCGUGAGUGAUGAAGGUCUUCGGAUCGUAAAACUCUGUUAUUAGGGAAGAACAUAUGUGUAAGUAACUGUGCACAUCUUGACGGUACCUAACCAGAAAGCCACGGCUAACUACGUG